Molecule: long non-coding RNA, 281 nt
Filed under: Mytilus galloprovincialis (Mediterranean mussel)
Lineage: Eukaryota; Metazoa; Mollusca; Bivalvia; Mytilida; Mytilidae
Source: RNAcentral
GUUUGGACUAAUUUACAAUACUAUUUGAGAUUCGUAAUCAUUUUAACAUCUAUUCAUUUAAAAAUAUAAACCGGUAAGAUAGAGAUAAAGGUCACCUAUGUUAUCUUAUCAAAACUAUUAAAGCAAUUUGAUUUACUGCUUAGAACAGUUAUAUCAAAAUUAGCAGAUAAAUAAAUAAAGUGUUUGUUACAACUUAAUUCUAAAUGCUCUUCGAGUCAGCUAAACAAUAUUGAACAAGCCAUAACAAGAUAAUUGACAAACCUUUUAAAAUAUAAACUCAU